This is a non-coding RNA of Ictalurus furcatus (blue catfish), 1259 nucleotides long. The record is from the annotation of a RefSeq genome assembly. Lineage: Eukaryota; Metazoa; Chordata; Actinopteri; Siluriformes; Ictaluridae.
AUGAUCUCUACAUCUCUACUACUGCUGCUGCUGGCAGCCGUACACUGUGUUCACUGUGUUGAGCUGAUCCAGCCCGGAUCCACAGUAUUAACCCCUGGUCAGUCAAUGACUCUGACCUGUAAAGUGUCUGGAUAUUCAUUAACUGAUAGCAGCUACUGUACAGGCUGGAUACGACAACCUGCAGGAAAAGCUCUGGAGUGGGUAGGACGUAUAUGUAGUAGCGGUGGCACUGACUACAGUGAGAAACUGAAAAACAAGUUUCAGAUUUCCAGAGACACGUCCAGCAGUACAGUAACAUUAACAGGGCAGAACAUGCAGACUGAAGACACAGCUGUGUAUUACUGCACUCGUUACCCACAGUGAGACAGAUCAACAACAUCCAUGUGCAAAAACACCCCAUACAAAGGCCUAUUAGUCCACAAGUGCACUUACUAUCCAAGUCUAACUAUAAAAUCUAAUGAGACAAAUCACAACAUAGAGUUUAAAGUUUUUUUAAACGUUUAUAAUGUAGAUUUUAAACCAUAUUACAAAUGUAAUAAUGCUACAUCUCUAAGAUUGCUGCACAUUAUACCUGGGGCGUAGAUUUGCAUAUGGACGGUAGGAACAUGUCCAUACCAAUAUUUUGGGAGGGCAGAAUUGUCCCUACCAAUAUUUGUGGGAACACGUUUGCAUUAUCUUUGGAGUGAAGUCAUGAAAAUUCCAUAGCAUACUUUCCCAGAAGCUCCAGCAUUUAGGCAUGCUAGCAUUUGACUGGCUGAAAGGGAGGGGCUAUCUGAAGGCUCACCUUACGUGCAAAUAUCGAGCUGCCAGUGUAGAGUACAGACACUUAGGCUAGGGCUGAUCGGCUGGCAAUGGUAAGUAAUUUAUCAAGGCUGUCAGUCCAUACCUCAAGCAUGGGCGAAAAAUUUAGUCUUUCAGAUGACUUUACUCUCUUUCCUCUAUUGCCUACACGGCACAGCGUACAUAAAGAAUUUUUCCCAUGCCAACACGUUUUGUACUUUGUAGAUAUGCCACCGAAAAAACGACAAGACAUCAGGAGCUUUUCCCCACCCAAAGCGUAAGUAAUAGGUAGUAAACUAACUGUCCAGUAGCCACAUUGAUUUAAAAUGAAAACCUGUUAGUGACCAAACGUCACCAGCCUUGCACUGAGGAAAGUAAUGUCAACUGAUAUUAGUUAACCGUGUUAGCUAGCGUUAACUAGCAAGCUAACCCUGUCUUCUGUCAUCUGCAGGCUAGCAGUCAGGUUGCUAGCUGGAAUA